This 253-nucleotide ribosomal RNA is filed under the name uncultured bacterium. RNAcentral's name for it is "partial 16S ribosomal RNA". It matches the Rfam family "Bacterial small subunit ribosomal RNA", at positions 524 to 776 of the family's 1533-position model. The record is from RNAcentral.
UACGUAGGGGGCAAGCGUUGUCCGGAAUCAUUGGGCGUAAAGCGUGUGUAGGCGGUCUCAUAAGUCGGGUGUGAAAGCCCAGGGCUCAACCCUGGAAGUGCACUCGAAACUGCGAGGCUUGAGUACCGGAGAGGUUGGUGGAAUUCUCGGUGUAGAGGUGAAAUUCGUAGAUAUCGAGAGGAACACCGGUGGCGAAGGCGGCCAACUGGACGAGUACUGACGCUGAGACACGAAAGCGUGGGGAGCAAACAGG